UACGAAGGGGGCUAGCGUUGCUCGGAAUCACUGGGCGUAAAGGGUGCGUAGGCGGGUCUUUAAGUCAGAGGUGAAAUCCUGGAGCUCAACUCCAGAACUGCCUUUGAUACUGAAGAUCUUGAGUCCGGGAGAGGUGAGUGGAACUGCGAGUGUAGAGGUGAAAUUCGUAGAUAUUCGCAAGAACACCAGUGGCGAAGGCGGCUCACUGGCCCGGUACUGACGCUGAGGCACGAAAGCGUGGGGAGCAAACAGG
Molecule: ribosomal RNA, 253 nt
Filed under: uncultured bacterium
Lineage: Bacteria
Description: partial 16S ribosomal RNA
Rfam family: Bacterial small subunit ribosomal RNA
Source: RNAcentral